UACGGAGGGUGCAAGCGUUAUCCGGAUUCACUGGGUUUAAAGGGUGCGUAGGCGGGUAGGUAAGUCAGUGGUGAAAUCCUGGAGCUUAACUCCAGAACUGCCAUUGAUACUAUCUAUCUUGAAUAUUGUGGAGGUAAGCGGAAUAUGUCAUGUAGCGGUGAAAUGCUUAGAUAUGACAUAGAACACCAAUUGCGAAGGCAGCCUACUACACAUAUAUUGACGCUGAGGCACGAAAGCGUGGGGAUCAAACAGG
RNAcentral lists this ribosomal RNA (253 nucleotides) under uncultured bacterium. RNAcentral describes it as "partial 16S ribosomal RNA". It matches the Rfam family "Bacterial small subunit ribosomal RNA", at positions 524 to 776 of the family's 1533-position model. The record is from RNAcentral.